RNAcentral lists this long non-coding RNA (984 nucleotides) under Cyanistes caeruleus (blue tit). RNAcentral describes it as "lncRNA (ENSCCEG00000003942.1)". The record is from RNAcentral. Lineage: Eukaryota; Metazoa; Chordata; Aves; Passeriformes; Paridae.
AAGGACAGGCGGCCCCAGAGGGAACAGAGCCCGAGGAGGCUGUCGCGACAGCCCCGUCCGGGACAGACGCCGAGGGAGCUCUGAGAGAGGAAACUCCGUCGGGGACAGUCCCUGAGGAUGCGGAGCGAGAGGCAGCCCCGACAGAGCCCGAGGAGGCUGCGGCGACAGCUCCAGCGGGGACAGUCCCCGAGGAUGCGGGUGCGGUGCAGGAGGCAGCCCCGGCUGAUGUGGCAGUCCCCGAAAAGGCGCUGGGGACAGUCCCUAAGGGUGAGGUGCAGGAGGCAGCCCCGGCUGGGACAGUCCCUGAGGAAGGGGCGGUCCCGGUGGGGACAGUCCCCAGGGAUGAGGUGCAGGAGGCAGCUCAGGCAGGGACAGUCUCUGAGGAAGUGCUGGGGACAGUCGCUAAGGAUGCGGUGCAGGAAGAAUCCGCAUCUGGGACAGUCCCCAGGGAGGUGUUGGAGACAAUCCCCAAGGAUGAGCUGCGGGACGUAGCCCCGGCAGGGACGGUCCCUGAGGAUGCGGUGCAGGAGGAAACCCAGUCUGGGACACUCCCCAAAGAUGAGGUGCGGGAGGAAGCUCCAGCAGGGUCCGAGGAUGCGGUGCAGGAGGCAGCCCCGGCAGGGACAGUCCCUGAGGAGGCGUUGGGGACAAUCCCCAAGGAUGGGGUGCAGCAGGAAACUCCAGCAGGGACGGUCCCCGGGGAUGCGGUGCAGGAGGAAGCUCCAGUCCCCAGGGAUGCGGCGCAGGACGCAGUUCCAGUCCCCAGGGAUGAGGGGCAGGAGGAAACCCUGGCAGUUCCAGUCCCCAGGGAUGCGGGGCAGGACGCAGUUCCAGUCCCCAGGGAUGAGGUGCAGGAGGCAGUUCCAGUCCCCAGGGAUGAGGUGCAGGACGCAGUUCCAGUCCCCAGGGAUGAAGUGCAGGAGGCAGCCCCCGCAGGCUCGGUCCCUGCGGAGCGCAGCGCGGAUGCUGCCGAGAGCCGCGGGG